This 483-nucleotide ribosomal RNA is filed under the name uncultured bacterium. RNAcentral's name for it is "bacterial SSU rRNA". It matches the Rfam family "Bacterial small subunit ribosomal RNA", at positions 30 to 507 of the family's 1533-position model. The record is from RNAcentral.
AUUGAACGCUGGCGGCAUGCCUUACACAUGCAAGUCGAACGGCAGCACGGGAGCAAUCCUGGUGGCGAGUGGCGGACGGGUGAGUAAUAUAUCGGAACGUGCCCAGUCGUGGGGGAUAACGUAGCGAAAGCUACGCUAAUACCGCAUACGAUCUAUGGAUGAAAGCGGGGGAUCGCAAGACCUCGCGCGAUUGGAGCGGCCGAUAUCAGAUUAGGUAGUUGGUGAGGUAAAGGCUCACCAAGCCGACGAUCUGUAGCUGGUCUGAGAGGACGACCAGCCACACUGGGACUGAGACACGGCCCAGACUCCUACGGGAGGCAGCAGUGGGGAAUUUUGGACAAUGGGCGCAAGCCUGAUCCAGCAAUGCCGCGUGCAGGAUGAAGGCCUUCGGGUUGUAAACUGCUUUGUACGGAACGAAACGGUGAGCUCUAAUACAGUUUGCUAAUGACGGUACCGUAAGAAUAAGCACCGGCUAACUACGUG